Molecule: ribosomal RNA, 855 nt
Filed under: uncultured bacterium
Lineage: Bacteria
Description: bacterial SSU rRNA
Rfam family: Bacterial small subunit ribosomal RNA
Source: RNAcentral
CACGGCGCACGGGUGCGUAACACGUGGGCAAUCUGCCCUCCGAUGGGGAAUAACCCCGCGAAAGCGGGGCUAAUUCCGCAUAACAUUCCCUGGACCCCGGUUCGGGGAUUCAAAGCCGCAAUGCGUCGGAGGAGGAGCCCGCGCCCGAUUAGCUAGUUGGUGAGGUAACGGCUCACCAAGGCUAUGAUCGGUAGCUGGUCUGAGAGGAUGGCCAGCCACACUGGAACUGAGACACGGUCCAGACUCCUACGGGAGGCAGCAGUGGGGAAUCUUGCGCAAUGGGCGAAAGCCUGACGCAGCGACGCCGCGUGGGGGAUGAAGCUUCUCGGAGUGUAAACCCCUUUCGACCGGGACGAAUGCCCGCAAGGGAGUGACGGUACCGGUAGAAGAAGCCCCGGCUAACUACGUGCCAGCAGCCGCGGUAAGACGUAGGGGGCCAGCGUUGUUCGGAAUUACUGGGUGUAAAGGGUUCGUAGGCGGUGUGGCAAGUCGGGAGUGAAAUUUCUGGGCUUAACUCAGAACCUGCUUCCGAAACUGCUGUGCUGGAGUGUGGGAGAGGCGCGUGGAAUUGCAGGUGUAGCGGUGAAAUGCGUAGAUAUCUGCAGGAACACCCGUGGCGAAAGCGGCGCGCUGGACCACUACUGACGUUGAGGAACGAAAGCUAGGGGAGCAAACAGGAUUAGAUACCCUGGUAGUCCUAGCCCUAAACGAUCAGGACUUGGGGUGCCACCCGUUCGGGUGUCGUCCCGGAGCUAACGCGUUAAGUCCUGCACCUGGGGAGUACGGUCGCAAGACUGAAACUCAAAGGAAUUGACGGGGGCCCGCACAAGCGGUGGAACAUGUGGUUCAAUUCGA